GACGAACGCUGGCGGCGUGCUUAACACAUGCAAGUCGAACGGAAAGGCCCUGCUUUUGUGGGGUGCUCGAGUGGCGAACGGGUGAGUAACACGUGAGUAACCUGCCCUUGACUUUGGGAUAACUUCAGGAAACUGGGGCUAAUACCGGAUAGGAGCUCCUGCUGCAUGGUGGGGGUUGGAAAGUUUCGGCGGUUGGGGAUGGACUCGCGGCUUAUCAGCUUGUUGGUGGGGUAGUGGCUUACCAAGGCUUUGACGGGUAGCCGGCCUGAGAGGGUGACCGGCCACAUUGGGACUGAGAUACGGCCCAGUCUCCUACGGGAGGCAGCAGUGGGGAAUAUUGCACAAUGGGCGGAAGCCUGAUGCAGCAACGCCGCGUGCGGGAUGACGGCCUUCGGGUUGUGAACCGCUUUCGCCUGUGACGAAGCGUGAGUGACGGUAAUGGGUAAGGAAGCACCGGCUAACUACGUG
Molecule: ribosomal RNA, 468 nt
Filed under: uncultured bacterium
Lineage: Bacteria
Description: partial 16S ribosomal RNA
Rfam family: Bacterial small subunit ribosomal RNA
Source: RNAcentral